ACCUCAUGAUUUGGGCAUUGCAUUAACUAAUCAUUGUAACGUUUCCAAACCUCAUACAAUGAUUUGCCAUUAGGUUGGCAAAAGUUAGUGAUUUCAUCCUUUCAUU
Molecule: small nucleolar RNA, 106 nt
Filed under: Capsicum annuum
Lineage: Eukaryota; Viridiplantae; Streptophyta; Magnoliopsida; Solanales; Solanaceae
Description: Plant small nucleolar RNA R71
Rfam family: Plant small nucleolar RNA R71
About the family: R71 is a member of the C/D box family of snoRNAs containing the C (UGAUGA) and D (CUGA) box motifs.
Source: Rfam by way of RNAcentral